UCCCUGGUGGUCCAGUGGCUAAGACUGUGAGCUCCCAACUCAGGGACCCUGGGUUCGAUCCCUGGUGAGGGAA
RNAcentral lists this transfer RNA (73 nucleotides) under Bos taurus (domestic cattle). It matches the Rfam family "tRNA". Rfam says of the family: Transfer RNA (tRNA) molecules are approximately 80 nucleotides in length. Their secondary structure includes four short double-helical elements and three loops (D, anti-codon, and T loops). RNAcentral also lists the same sequence under 4 other names. The record is from Rfam by way of RNAcentral. Lineage: Eukaryota; Metazoa; Chordata; Mammalia; Artiodactyla; Bovidae.